Molecule: ribosomal RNA, 256 nt
Filed under: uncultured Leptotrichia sp.
Lineage: Bacteria; Fusobacteriati; Fusobacteriota; Fusobacteriia; Fusobacteriales; Leptotrichiaceae
Description: partial 16S ribosomal RNA
Rfam family: Bacterial small subunit ribosomal RNA
Source: RNAcentral
CGGACGGGUGAGUAACGCGUAAAGAACUUGCCCUUUAGACUGGGAUAACAGAGGGAAACUUCUGAUAAUACUGGAUAAGUUAGUAUAUCGCAUGAUAUGCACAUGAAAGCUACUGCACUAAAGGAGAGCUUUGCGUCCUAUUAGCUAGUUGGUAAGGUAAGAGCUUACCAAGGCGAUGAUAGGUAGCCGGCCUGAGAGGGUGGACGGCCACAAGGGGACUGAGAUACGGCCCUUACUCCUACGGGAGGCAGCAGGC